RNAcentral lists this ribosomal RNA (405 nucleotides) under uncultured bacterium. RNAcentral describes it as "bacterial SSU rRNA". It matches the Rfam family "Bacterial small subunit ribosomal RNA", at positions 362 to 758 of the family's 1533-position model. The record is from RNAcentral.
UUUUGGACAAUGGGCGCAAGCCUGAUCCAGCCAUUCCGCGUGAGUGAAGAAGGCCUUCGGGUUGUAAAGCUCUUUCGCAAGGGAAGAAAACUUACUUUCUAAUAAAGAGUGAGGUUGACGGUACCUUGAUAAGAAGCACCGGCUAACUACGUGCCAGCAGCCGCGGUAAUACGUAGGGUGCGAGCGUUAAUCGGAAUUACUGGGCGUAAAGCGUGCGCAGGCGGCUUUGUAAGUCAGAUGUGAAAUCCCCGAGCUCAACUUGGGAACUGCGUUUGAAACUACAAGGCUAGAAUAUGUCAGAGGGGGGUAGAAUUCCACGUGUAGCAGUGAAAUGCGUAGAGAUGUGGAGGAAUACCAAUGGCGAAGGCAGCCCCCUGGGAGUAAUAUUGACGCUCAUGCACGAGG